GGGGGCCAGACUGUUGUGUCAAUUAACGGAGAAGCUGGGAACUUCUUUCGCAACAAGCAUGGCCUAAGACAAGGAUACCAUAUCUCCCCCUUGAUCUUUAGCCUUGUUGCGGACGCCCUCUUGGCCAUGAUCGACAAGGUGAAGGGUGCUGGGCACAUUCGCUGCGUGGUCACUCACCUCAUUCCUGGGGGAGUUCGCAUCUCCAAUACGCGGGCGGCAUGA
This 222-nucleotide ribosomal RNA is filed under the name Triticum aestivum (bread wheat). RNAcentral describes it as "partial small subunit ribosomal RNA". The record is from RNAcentral. Lineage: Eukaryota; Viridiplantae; Streptophyta; Magnoliopsida; Poales; Poaceae.